UGCAAAGACUUGCUGGGACCUAGCUCACAAAAAGGAUAAACUGUGAAUAAGGUGGAUAACUGCUUACUAUAUAAAACACAAUCUGCUAGAAGACAUGCCAAUCCCUACACAGGCAAGCUGGAUGGUCAGGAAAAUUAUAGCCUCUAGAGCUGUUCUGCAGAAUUUUCAACACUGGAGGAGACGGUACUGUUCCAUUAGACAACUAUAUCAUUUGCAGUUAGGAGACCUGCCGAGAGUACCAUGGAAGAAUCUGAUCAUCAAGAAUUAUGCUAGACCAAAAGCUGUCUUCAACCUCUAGAGCUGUUCUGCAGAAUUUUCAACACUGGAGGAGACAAGACUGCUCCAUUAGACAACUAUAUCAUUUGCAGUUAGGAGACCUGCCGAGAGCACCAUGAAAGAAUCUGAUCAUCAAAAAUUAUGCUAGACCAAAAGCUGUCUUCAAUUUGUGGCUGGUUCUACAAGGCAGAUUAC
This 471-nucleotide long non-coding RNA is filed under the name Nicotiana benthamiana. Its description in RNAcentral is "long non-coding RNA (NBEN_LNC032073)". The record is from RNAcentral. Lineage: Eukaryota; Viridiplantae; Streptophyta; Magnoliopsida; Solanales; Solanaceae.